GACGAACCGAGCGAACGUUGUUCGGAAUCACUGGGCUUAAAGGGCGCGUAGGCGGCUCGCGAGGUCGGGGGUGAAAUCCCACAGCUUAACUGUGGAAGUGCCUUCGAUACCGGCGGGCUGGAGGAAGGUAGGGGUGCGCGGAACUUCUGGUGGAGCGGUGAAAUGCGUUGAUAUCAGAAGGAACGCCGGCGGCGAAAGCGGCGCACUGGACCUUUUCUGACGCUGAUGCGCGAAAGCCAGGGGAGCAAACGGG
Molecule: ribosomal RNA, 253 nt
Filed under: uncultured bacterium
Lineage: Bacteria
Description: partial 16S ribosomal RNA
Rfam family: Bacterial small subunit ribosomal RNA
Source: RNAcentral